UGAUUCAAUUUCCAUUGAUUG
RNAcentral lists this non-coding RNA (21 nucleotides) under Caenorhabditis elegans. The record is from RNAcentral. Lineage: Eukaryota; Metazoa; Nematoda; Chromadorea; Rhabditida; Rhabditidae.